This 82-nucleotide transfer RNA is filed under the name Lachnospiraceae bacterium. RNAcentral describes it as "tRNA-Leu". It matches the Rfam family "tRNA". From Rfam's summary of the family: Transfer RNA (tRNA) molecules are approximately 80 nucleotides in length. Their secondary structure includes four short double-helical elements and three loops (D, anti-codon, and T loops). Further hydrogen bonds mediate the characteristic L-shaped molecular structure. tRNAs have two regions of fundamental functional importance: the anti-codon, which is responsible for specific mRNA codon recognition, and the 3' end, to which the tRNAs corresponding amino acid is attached (by aminoacyl-tRNA synthetases). tRNAs cope with the degeneracy of the genetic code in two manners: having more than one tRNA (with a specific anti-codon) for a particular amino acid; and 'wobble' base-pairing, i.e. permitting non-standard base-pairing at the 3rd anti-codon position. Lineage: Bacteria; Bacillati; Bacillota; Clostridia; Lachnospirales; Lachnospiraceae. The record is from RNAcentral.
GCGGAUAUGACGGAAUUGGCAGACGUGCAGGAUUUAGGUUCCUGUGUCGCAGGACGUGUGGGUUCAAAUCCCACUAUCCGCA